AGCGAACGCUGGCGGCAGGCUUAACACAUGCAAGUCGAGCGGGCACUUUCGGGUGUCAGCGGCGGACGGGUGAGUAACGCGUGGUAACGUGCCCUCUGGUUCGGAAUAACUCAGGGAAACUUGAGCUAAUACCGGAUACGCCCUUUUGGGGAAAGGCUUGCUGCCGGAGGAUCGGCCCGCGUCUGAUUAGCUAGUUGGUGAGGUAACGGCUCACCAAGGCGACGAUCAGUAGCUGGUCUGAGAGGAUGAUCAGCCACACUGGGACUGAGACACGGCCCAGACUCCUACGGGAGGCAGCAGUGGGGAAUAUUGGACAAUGGGCGCAAGCCUGAUCCAGCCAUGCCGCGUGAGUGAUGAAGGCCUUAGGGUUGUAAAGCUCUUUUAUCCGGGACGAUAAUGACGGUACCGGAGGAAUAAGCCCCGGCUAACUUAGUG
Molecule: ribosomal RNA, 435 nt
Filed under: uncultured bacterium
Lineage: Bacteria
Description: partial 16S ribosomal RNA
Rfam family: Bacterial small subunit ribosomal RNA
Source: RNAcentral